GGACGGGUGGCCGAGUGGCUUAAGGCGCACGAUUGGAAAUCGUGUGGGUUUACGCCCGCGUGGGUUCGAAUCCCACCCCGUCCG
RNAcentral lists this transfer RNA (84 nucleotides) under Gemmatimonadota bacterium. It matches the Rfam family "tRNA". From Rfam's summary of the family: Transfer RNA (tRNA) molecules are approximately 80 nucleotides in length. The record is from Rfam by way of RNAcentral. Lineage: Bacteria; Pseudomonadati; Gemmatimonadota.